This 32-nucleotide small RNA is filed under the name Bombyx mori (domestic silkworm). RNAcentral describes it as "ovarian small RNA-14990". The record is from RNAcentral. Lineage: Eukaryota; Metazoa; Arthropoda; Insecta; Lepidoptera; Bombycidae.
CUUCGGAAUGAGUAAAGCGGCGAACGGGUGAA